This 1015-nucleotide ribosomal RNA is filed under the name Aliarcobacter cryaerophilus. RNAcentral describes it as "bacterial SSU rRNA". It matches the Rfam family "Bacterial small subunit ribosomal RNA", at positions 244 to 1274 of the family's 1533-position model. Lineage: Bacteria; Pseudomonadati; Campylobacterota; Epsilonproteobacteria; Campylobacterales; Arcobacteraceae. The record is from RNAcentral.
GUGAGUUGGUGGGGUAAUGGCUUACCAAGACUAUGACACAUAACUGGUUUGAGAGGAUGAUCAGUCACACUGGAACUGAGACACGGUCCAGACUCCUACGGGAGGCAGCCGUGGGGAAUAUUGCACAAUGGACGAAAGUCUGAUGCAGCAACGCCGCGUGGAGGAUGACACAUUUCGGUGCGUAAACUCCUUUUAUAUGAGAAGAUAAUGACGGUAUUAUAUGAAUAAGCACCGGCUAACUCCGUGCCAGCAGCCGCGGUAAUACGGGGGGUGCAAGCGUUACUCGGAAUCACUGGGCGUAAAGAGCAUGUAGGCGGAUUAAUAAGUUUGAAGUGAAAUCCUAUAGCUUAACUAUAGAACUGCUUUGAAAACUGUUAAUCUAGAAUGUGGGAGAGGUAGAUGGAAUUUCUGGUGUAGGGGUAAAAUCCGUAGAGAUCAGAAGGAAUACCGAUUGCGAAGGCGAUCUACUGGAACAUUAUUGACGCUGAGAUGCGAAAGCGUGGGGAGCAAACAGGAUUAGAUACCCUGGUAGUCCACGCCCUAAACGAUGUACACUAGUUGUUGUGAGACUUGAUCUUGCAGUAAUGCAGUUAACACAUUAAGUGUACCGCCUGGGGAGUACGGUCGCAAGAUUAAAACUCAAAAGAAUAGACGGGGACCCGCACAAGCGGUGGAGCAUGUGGUUUAAUUCGACGAUACACGAAGAACCUUACCUGGACUUGACAUAGUAAGAACUUUCUAGAGAUAGAUUGGUGUCUGCUUGCAGAAACUUAUAUACAGGUGCUGCACGGCUGUCGUCAGCUCGUGUCGUGAGAUGUUGGGUUAAGUCCCGCAACGAGCGCAACCCUCGUGUUUAGUUGCUAACAGUUCGGCUGAGAACUCUAAACAGACUGCCUACGCAAGUAGGAGGAAGGUGAGGACGACGUCAAGUCAUCAUGGCCCUUACGUCCAGGGCUACACACGUGCUACAAUGGGAUAUACAAAGAGCGGCAAUACGGUGACGUGGAGCAAAUCU